This 981-nucleotide ribosomal RNA is filed under the name Filifactor alocis. Its description in RNAcentral is "bacterial SSU rRNA". It matches the Rfam family "Bacterial small subunit ribosomal RNA", at positions 28 to 1009 of the family's 1533-position model. The record is from RNAcentral. Lineage: Bacteria; Bacillati; Bacillota; Clostridia; Peptostreptococcales; Filifactoraceae.
GAUGAACGCUGGCGGCGUGCUUAACACAUGCAAGUCGAACGAACGACUAUUAACAGAACCUUUCGGGGCGAAGAAUAUAGAAGUUAGUGGCGGACGGGUGCGUAACGCGUGGGUAAUCUGCCUUUGUCAAAGGAAUAACUAUUCGAAAGAAUAGCUAAAACCGUAUAACAUAUUAAUAGGGCAUCCUAAUAAUAUCAAAACUGAGGUGGACAAAGAUGAGCCCGCGUCUGAUUAGCUAGUUGGUGAGAUAAAAGCCCACCAAGGCAACGAUCAGUAGCCGACCUGAGAGGGUGAACGGCCACAUUGGAACUGAGACACGGUCCAAACUCCUACGGGAGGCAGCAGUGGGGAAUAUUGCACAAUGGGGGGAACCCUGAUGCAGCAACGCCGCGUGAGUGAAGAAGGCAUUCGUGUCGUAAAACUCUGUAGUAGGGGAAGAAAGAAAUGACAGUACCCUAAAAGAAAGCCCCGGCUAACUACGUGCCGGCAGCCGCGGUAAUACGUAGGGGGCAAGCGUUAUCCGGAAUAACUGGGCGUAAAGGGUGCGCAGGUGGUUUAACAAGUAAGUGGUGAAAGGCAUAGGCUCAACCAAUGUAAGCCAUUAAAACUGUUUAACUUGAGUGCAGGAGAGGAAAGUGGAAUUCCUAGUGUAGCGGUGAAAUGCGUAGAUAUUAGGAGGAAUACCAGUGGCGAAGGCGACUUUCUGGACUGCAACUGACACUGAGGCACGAAAGCGUGGGGAGCAAACGGGAUUAGAUACCCUGGUAGUCCACGCCGUAAACGAUGAGUACUAGGUGUCGGGUGAAGAACUCGGUGCCGAAGUUAACACAUUAAGUACUCCGCCUGGGGAGUACGCUCGCAAGAGUAAAACUCAAAGGAAUUGACGGGGACCCGCACAAGCAGCGGAGCAUGUGGUUUAAUUCGUAGCAACGCGAAGAACCUUACCUAAGCUUGACAUACCAAUGACAGCCUUUUAAUCGA